GACGAACGCUGGCGGCGUGCUUAACACAUGCAAGUCGAACGGAAAGGCCCUGCUUUUGUGGGGUGCUCGAGUGGCGAACGGGUGAGUAACACGUGAGUAACCUGCCCUUGACUUUGGGAUAACUUCAGGAAACUGGGGCUAAUACCGGAUAGGAGCUCCUGCUGCAUGGUGGGGGUUGGAAAGUUUCGGCGGUUGGGGAUGGACUCGCGGCUUAUCAGCUUGUUGGUGGGGUAAUGGCUUACCAAGGCUUUGACGGGUAGCCGGCCUGAGAGGGUGACCGGCAACAUUGGGACUGAGAUACGGCCCAGACUCCUACGGGAGGCAGCAGUGGGGAAUAUUGCACAAUGGGCGGAAGCCUGAUGCAGCAACGCCGCGUGCGGGAUGACGGCCUUCGGGUUGUAAACCGCUUUCGCCUGUGACGAAGCGUGAGUGACGGUAAUGGGUAAAGAAGCACCGGCUAACUACGUG
This 468-nucleotide ribosomal RNA is filed under the name uncultured bacterium. RNAcentral's name for it is "partial 16S ribosomal RNA". It matches the Rfam family "Bacterial small subunit ribosomal RNA", at positions 28 to 507 of the family's 1533-position model. The record is from RNAcentral.